RNAcentral lists this ribosomal RNA (492 nucleotides) under uncultured bacterium. RNAcentral's name for it is "partial 16S ribosomal RNA". It matches the Rfam family "Bacterial small subunit ribosomal RNA", at positions 29 to 507 of the family's 1533-position model. The record is from RNAcentral.
AGUGAACGCUGGCGGUAGGCCUAACACAUGCAAGUCGAACGGCAGCACAGUAAGAGCUUGCUCUUACGGGUGGCGAGUGGUGGACGGGUGAGGAAUACAUCGGAAUCUACUUUUUCGUGGGGGUUAACGUAGGGAAACUUACGCUAAUACCGCAUACGACCUACGGGUGAAAGCAGGGGAUCUUCGGACCUUGCGCGAUUGAAUGAGCCGAUGUCGGAUUAGCUAGUUGGCGGGGUAAUGGCCCACCAAGGCGACGAUCCGUAGCUGGUCUGAGAGGAUGAUCAGCCACACGGGAACUGAGACACGGUCCAGACUCCUACGGGAGGCAGCAGUGGGGAAUAUUGGACAAUGGGCGCAAGCCUGAUCCAGCCAUACCGCGUGGGUGAAGAAGGCCUUCGGGUUGUAAAGCCCUUUUGUUGGGAAAGAAAAGCAGCAGGUUAAGACCCCGCUGUUCUGACGGUACCCAAAGAAUAAGCACCGGCUAACUUCGUG